GGCAACGAUCAGUAGGGGUUCUGAGAGGAAGGUCCCCCACAUUGGAACUGUGACACGGUCCAAACUCCUACGGGAGGCAGCAGUGAGGAAUAUUGGUCAAUGGGCGAGAGCCUGAACCAGCCAAGUAGCGUGCAGGACGACGGCCCUAUGGGUUGUAAACUGCUUUUAUAAGGGAAUAAAGUGAGUCUCGUGAGACUUUUUGCAUGUACCUUAUGAAUAAGGACCGGCUAAUUCCGUGCCAGCAGCCGCGGUAAUACGGAAGGUCCGGGCGUUAUCCGGAUUUAUUGGGUUUAAAGGGAGCGUAGGCCGGAGAUUAAGCGUGUUGUGAAAUGUAGACGCUCAACGUCUGCACUGCAGCGCGAACUGGUUUCCUUGAGUACGCACAAAGUGGGCGGAAUUCGUGGUGUAGCGGUGAAAUGCUUAGAUAUCACGAAGAACUCCGAUUGCGAAGGCAGCUCACUGGAGCGCAACUGACGCUGAAGCUCGAAAGUGCGGGUAUCGAACAGGAUUAGAUACCCUGGUAGUCCGCACGGUAAACGAUGGAUGCCCGCUGUUGGUCUGAAUAGGUCAGCGGCCAAGCGAAAGCAUUAAGCAUCCCACCUGGGGAGUACGCCGGCAACGGUGAAACUCAAAGGAAUUGACGGGGGCCCGCACAAGCGGAGGAACAUGUGGUUUAAUUCGAUGAUACGCGAGGAACCUUACCCGGGCUUGAAUUGCAGAGGAAGGAUUUGGAGACAAUGACGCCCUUCGGGGCCUCUGUGAAGGUGCUGCAUGGUUGUCGUCAGCUCGUGCCGUGAGGUGUCGGCUUAAGUGCCAUAACGAGCGCAACCCCUCUCCUUAGUUGCCAUCAGGUCAUGCUGGGCACUCUGGGGACACUGCCACCGUAAGGUGUGAGGAAGGUGGGGAUGACGUCAAAUCAGCACGGCCCUUACGUCCGGGGCUACACACGUGUUACGAUGGCAGGUACAGAGAGACGGUCCCUUGCAAAAGGGAUCAAAUCCUCAAAGCCUGUCUCAGUUCGGACUGGGGUCUGCAACCCGACCCCACGAAGCUGGAUUCGCUAGUAAUCGCGCAUCAGCCAUGGCGCGGUGAAUACGUUCCCGGGCCUUGUACACACCGCCCGUCAAGCCAUGAAAGCCGGGGGCGCCUAAAGUCCGUGACCGUAAGGAGCGGCCUAGGGCGAAACUGGUAAUUGGGGCUAAGUCGUAACAAGGUA
Molecule: ribosomal RNA, 1216 nt
Filed under: metagenome
Description: bacterial SSU rRNA
Rfam family: Bacterial small subunit ribosomal RNA
Source: RNAcentral